CGUGUAGGCGGUUUGGUAAGUCUGAUGUGAAAGCCCCGGGCUCAACCCGGGAAGUGCAUUGGAAACUGUCAGACUUGAAUACGGGAGAGGGUAGUGGAAUUCCUGGUGUAGGAGUGAAAUCCGUAGAUAUCAGGAGGAACACCGGUGGCGAAGGCGGCUGCCUGGACCGAUAUUGACGCUGAGACGCGAAAGCGUGGGUAGCAAACAGGAUUAGAUACCCUGGUAGUCCACGCCGUAAACGAUGAGUACUAGGUGUUGCGGGUAUUGACCCCUGCAGUGCCGCAGCUAACGCAUUAAGUACUCCGCCUGGGAAGUACGGUCGCAGGACUAAA
This 332-nucleotide ribosomal RNA is filed under the name uncultured bacterium. RNAcentral's name for it is "bacterial SSU rRNA". It matches the Rfam family "Bacterial small subunit ribosomal RNA", at positions 568 to 898 of the family's 1533-position model. The record is from RNAcentral.